This 636-nucleotide ribosomal RNA is filed under the name uncultured Rhodococcus sp. Its description in RNAcentral is "bacterial SSU rRNA". It matches the Rfam family "Bacterial small subunit ribosomal RNA", at positions 261 to 904 of the family's 1533-position model. Lineage: Bacteria; Bacillati; Actinomycetota; Actinomycetes; Mycobacteriales; Nocardiaceae. The record is from RNAcentral.
UCGUGAACUCAAGCGAGACGGGUAGCCGGCCUGAGAGGGCGACCGGCCACACUGGGACUGAGACACGGCCCAGACUCCUACGGGAGGCAGCAGUGGGGAAUAUUGCACAAUGGGCGAAAGCCUGAUGCAGCGACGCCGCGUGAGGGAUGAAGGCCUUCGGGUUGUAAACCUCUUUCAGCAGGGACGAAGCGCAAGUGACGGUACCUGCAGAAGAAGCACCGGCUAACUACGUGCCAGCAGCCGCGGUAAUACGUAGGGUGCGAGCGUUGUCCGGAAUUACUGGGCGUAAAGAGUUCGUAGGCGGUUUGUCGCGUCGUGUGUGAAAUCCCGCAGCUCAACUGCGGGCUUGCAGGCGAUACGGGCAGACUUGAGUACUGCAGGGGAGACUGGAAUUCCUGGUGUAGCGGUGAAAUGCGCAGAUAUCAGGAGGAACACCGGUGGCGAAGGCGGGUCUCUGGGCAGUAACUGACGCUGAGGAACGAAAGCGUGGGUAGCGAACAGGAUUAGAUACCCUGGUAGUCCACGCCGUAAACGGUGGGCGCUAGGUGUGGGUUUCCUUCCACGGGAUCCGUGCCGUAGCUAACGCAUUAAGCGCCCCGCCUGGGGGAGUACGGCCAACAAGCUGAUAGGCCGCGA